Molecule: ribosomal RNA, 322 nt
Filed under: uncultured eukaryote
Lineage: Eukaryota
Description: partial 18S ribosomal RNA
Rfam family: Eukaryotic small subunit ribosomal RNA
Source: RNAcentral
CCCUUAGAUGUUCUGGGCCGCACGCGUGCUACACUGAGUAAUUCAAUGGGUAAGGGAACGCUAGAGCAUUACCUAAUCUUGAAAUUUGCUCGUGAUGGGGAUCGACGGUUGCAAUUUUCCGUCGUGAACGAGGAAUACCUUGUAGGCGCAUGUCAUCAUCAUGCGCCGAAUACGUCCCUGCCCUUUGUACACACCGCCCGUCGCUCCUACCGAGUGAGUGAUCCGGUGAGGCUCUGGGACCUGGACGGAAAGAGCGUUUCGCUUGUUCUGUUUGGGAAACUUGGUCGAACCUUAUCAUUUAGAGGAAGGAGAAGUCGUAACA